AAAUUUGUAAUCUGGCACCUUCGGUGUCCGAGUUGUAAUCUCGAGAAGUGUUUUCCGCGCCAGACUGCAUAUAAGUCUAUUGGAAUAUAGCGUCAUAGUGGUGAGAACCCCGUACAUGAUGCAGAUGCCUGGUGCUCUGUGAUACACUUUCGAAGAGUCGAGUUGUUUGGGAAUGCAGCUCAAAUUGGGUGGUAAAUUCCAUCUAAAGCUAAAUAUUGGCGAGAGACCGAUAGCGAACAAGUACCGUGAGGGAAAGAUGAAAAGCACUUUGGAAAGAGAGUUAACAGUACGUGAAAUUGUUGGAAGGGAAACGCUUGAAGUCAGACUUGCUAUUUGGAAUUCAGCCGCAAGGUGUACUUUUCAAUUUGCAGGCCAGCAUCAGUUUUCGGGGAUGGAAAAGGAUUAGGAGAAGGUAGCAGUCUCGGCUGUGUUAUAGCUCUUAAUUGGAUUCAUCCCUGGGGACUGAGGAACGCAGCUUCGGCUUAG
This 486-nucleotide ribosomal RNA is filed under the name Pseudohyphozyma sp. Its description in RNAcentral is "partial large subunit ribosomal RNA". It matches the Rfam family "Eukaryotic large subunit ribosomal RNA", at positions 111 to 610 of the family's 3401-position model. Lineage: Eukaryota; Fungi; Basidiomycota; Microbotryomycetes; Chrysozymaceae. The record is from RNAcentral.